Molecule: transfer RNA, 73 nt
Filed under: Podarcis lilfordi (Lilford's wall lizard)
Lineage: Eukaryota; Metazoa; Chordata; Lepidosauria; Squamata; Lacertidae
Description: tRNA.Lys
Source: RNAcentral
ACCUGGAUAGCUCAGUCAGUACAACAUGAGACUCUUAAUCUCGGGGUCAUGGCUUUGAGCCCCAUGUAGGGCA